CCCUUAGAUGUUCUGGGCGGCCCGCGCACCACAAUGGCGCUUUCAGCGAGUUCCUAUGUUGAAUUUUCCUUGGUAUUCUUGGAAGCGGCGUCUUGACUUGGGAUAGAUCCUUGUAAUUGUUGGUUUUGAACGAGGAAUUCCUUGUAAUCGCGGUUGAUCAGCUCGCGUUGAAUACGUCCCUGCCCUUUGUACACACCGCCCGUCGCUCCUACCGAUGAAUCGUCCGGUGAAGUUCACAGAGUGGCGGUUCGUGGAGUUGCUCGCGAAGUGAAAUGGACCUCACGAUUUAGAGGAAGGAGAAGUCGUAACA
Molecule: ribosomal RNA, 310 nt
Filed under: uncultured eukaryote
Lineage: Eukaryota
Description: partial 18S ribosomal RNA
Rfam family: Eukaryotic small subunit ribosomal RNA
Source: RNAcentral